AUUGAACGCUGGCGGCAUGCCUUACACAUGCAAGUCGAACGGUAACGGGCCUUCGGGUGCCGACGAGUGGCGCACGGGUGAGUAAUACAUCGGAACGUGCCCGAACGUGGGGGAUAACGAGGCGAAAGCUUUGCUAAUACAGCAUACGAUCUACGGAUGAACGCAGGGGCCCGCAAGGCCUUGCGCGGACGGAGCGGCCGAUGGCGGAUUAGGUAGUUGGUGGGAUAAAAGCUUACCAAGCCGACGAUCUGUAGCUGGUCUGCGAGGAUGAUCAGCCACACUGGGACUGAGACACGGCCCAGACUCCUACGGGAGGCAGCAGUGGGGAAUUUUGGACAAUGGGCGCAAGCCUGAUCCAGCCAUGCCGCGUGCAGGAUGAAGGCCUUCGGGUUGUAAACUGCUUUUGUACGGAACGAAAAGCCUUCUUUUAAUACAGGAGGGUCAUGACGGUACCGGAAGAAUAAGCACCGGCUAACUACGUG
This 482-nucleotide ribosomal RNA is filed under the name uncultured bacterium. RNAcentral's name for it is "partial 16S ribosomal RNA". It matches the Rfam family "Bacterial small subunit ribosomal RNA", at positions 30 to 507 of the family's 1533-position model. The record is from RNAcentral.